CUGGAUAGAAGAUUCAUCUACGCUGGCAAAAGGGCUGUCAGAAAGAGUCCAAUCCCGAGGAGAGUUCAUGUGUGAAAUUUCUUUGUUGAAUGGAGGUGAGUUCAAGGGCUUCUUUGAUCGGGAAAUGCACGCACUUCUUUUGUUGUCAUUAAGGUCCCUUCCCCCUGAGUUCAAGAUGUCCCUUCCGCUUCUCUUUCACUACUUCCCUCAUUGGGAUUGGUCAAGCUCCUUCACUUAUUGCUCGAUCCGAUCCGGAACCUAUUGGGAUAGCACCUUUUCCUCCUAUUUAGUAGGUCUUCUUUGAUCCGAUCCGGAACCUAUUGGGAUAGAACCUUUUCCUCCUAUUUAGUAGGUCUUCUUGCCCGUUCAGUUCCUCUACU
RNAcentral lists this long non-coding RNA (380 nucleotides) under Nicotiana benthamiana. RNAcentral describes it as "long non-coding RNA (NBEN_LNC024907)". The record is from RNAcentral. Lineage: Eukaryota; Viridiplantae; Streptophyta; Magnoliopsida; Solanales; Solanaceae.